UGGGGAAUCUUGGACAAUGGGGGAAACCCUGAUCCAGCAAUGCCGCGUGUGCGAAGAAGGCCUUCGGGUUGUAAAGCACUUUUGUCUGGGAAGAAAUGGUUUGAGCUAAUACCUCAAGUUGAUGACAGUACCAGAAGAAUAAGCACCGGCUAACUACGUGCCAGCAGCCGCGGUAAUACGUAGGGUGCGAGCGUUAAUCGGAAUUAUUGGGCGUAAAGGGUGCGCAGGCGGUUUUUUAAGUCAGAUGUGAAAUCCCCGAGCUUAACUUGGGAACUGCAUUUGAAACUGAAAGACUAGAGUGUGCGAGAGGGGGGUGGAAUUCCGCGUGUAGCAGUGAAAUGCGUAGAUGUGCGGAGGAACAUCAAUGGCGAAGGCAGCCCCCUGGCGUAACACUGACGCUCAUGCACGAAAGCGUGGGGAGCAAACA
Molecule: ribosomal RNA, 427 nt
Filed under: uncultured beta proteobacterium
Lineage: Bacteria; Pseudomonadati; Pseudomonadota; Betaproteobacteria
Description: partial 16S ribosomal RNA
Rfam family: Bacterial small subunit ribosomal RNA
Source: RNAcentral